This 756-nucleotide ribosomal RNA is filed under the name uncultured bacterium. Its description in RNAcentral is "bacterial SSU rRNA". It matches the Rfam family "Bacterial small subunit ribosomal RNA", at positions 8 to 796 of the family's 1533-position model. The record is from RNAcentral.
AGAGUUUGAUCAUGGCUCAGAAUCAACGCUGGCGGCGUGCCUAACACAUGCAAGUCGCACGAGAAAGGGUAGUAAUACCUGAGUAAAGUGGCGCACGGGUGAGUAACACGUGGAUGAUCUACCUCCGAGUGGGGAAUAACUGAGAGAAAUCCUAGCUAAUACCGCAUAACACUUACGAGUCAAAGCAGCAAUGCGCUUGGAGAGGAGUUCGCGGCCGAUUAGUUAGUUGGCGGGGUAAUGGCCCACCAGGACGAUGAUCGGUAUCCGGCCUGAGAGGGCGCACGGACACACUGGAACUGAAACACGGUCCAGACUCCUACGGGAGGCAGCAGUGGGGAAUUUUGCGCAAUGGGGGAAACCCUGACGCAGCAACGCCGCGUGGAGGAUGAAAUAUCUUGGUAUGUAAACUCCUUUCGAUGGGGAAGAUUAUGACGGUACCCAUAGAAGAAGCCCCGGCUAACUUCGUGCCAGCAGCCGCGGUAAUACGAGGGGGGCAAGCGUUGUUCGGAUUUAUUGGGCGUAAAGGGUGCGUAGGCGGUUUGGCAAGUCUUAUGUGAAAUCUUCGGGCUCAACCCGAAGUCUGCAUAAGAAACUGCCGGGCUUGAGUAUGGGAGAGGUGAGUGGAAUUUCCGGUGUAGCGGUGAAAUGCGUAGAUAUCGGAAGGAACACCUGUGGCGAAAGCGGCUCACUGGACCAUAACUGACGCUGAUGCACGAAAGCUAGGGGAGCAAACAGGAUUAGAUACCCUAGUAGUCC